UACAGAGGAUGCAAGCGUUAUCCGGAAUGAUUGGGCGUAAAGCGUCUGUAGGUGGCUUUUUAAGUCCGCCGUCAAAUCCCAGGGCUCAACUCUGGACAGGCGGUGGAAACUACCAGGCUGGAGUACGGUAGGGGCAGAGGGAAUUUCCGGUGGAGCGGUGAAAUGCGUAGAGAUCGGAAAGAACACCAACGGCGAAAGCACUCUGCUGGGCCGACACUGACACUGAUAGCGCGAAAGCCAGGGGAGCAAACGGG
Molecule: ribosomal RNA, 254 nt
Filed under: uncultured bacterium
Lineage: Bacteria
Description: partial 16S ribosomal RNA
Rfam family: Bacterial small subunit ribosomal RNA
Source: RNAcentral